AUGGCCUUGCUGGCCUCUUGGGGGAAAAGAUUCUUUGACAAUAAUGACAGUGAUUGGAAGAAAAUUAUUGCUUACAAAUAUGACAUUAAUCAUCCUAAUAUUCUGUGGGCUAGAAAUGGGGUGGGCUCUACCUUCUGGAAGAGUGCUACCUGGGCUUUAUCUGCUGCAAAAACCUUUUAUAAGUGGAAAUUGGGCAAUGGGGAGAGAAUUAGCUUUUGGCAUGACACUUGGAUUGGGGAUUGUUCCCUUAAAACUCAGUUUUGGGAGUUAUAUUGCAUUUGUAACCAGACUGAGUGCUCUGUACCAGAAGUUUGGGAUGGUGAGAACCUUAAGCUGACCUUUAGGAAAUGCGUAGAUGAAGUGGUUUAUGAUGGCUGGAACCAAUUGGUUAGUCUGGUUAAAAACGCCCAGCUUAGUGAGGUUACGGAUACUCCCGUUUGGUCUCUGGAGACAAAUGGGAUAUACUCUGUCAAAUCAUUUUAUAAGCAGAUUAACUUUGGGGGCAGUCUCCAUUGUUGGAGAUAA
This 525-nucleotide ribosomal RNA is filed under the name Triticum aestivum (bread wheat). RNAcentral describes it as "partial small subunit ribosomal RNA". Lineage: Eukaryota; Viridiplantae; Streptophyta; Magnoliopsida; Poales; Poaceae. The record is from RNAcentral.